UGAAAGCCCCCGGUCAACUGGGAGAGUCAUGUGUAACGGCAGAGCUAACGAGUGCAGGAGAGGGAAGUGGAACUCCGGGAGUAGCGGUGAAAUGCGUAGAUACCCGGAGGAAUACCAGUGGCGAAGGCGGCUUCCUGGUCUGCUACUGACGCUGUGGCGCGAAAGCUAGGGGAGCAAACGGGAUUAGAUACCCCGGUAGUCCUAGCCGUAAACGAUGGACACUAGGUGUGCGCGGUAUCGACCCCGCGCGUGCCGGAGCAAACGCAGUAAGUGUCCCGCCUGGGGAGUACGGCCGCAAGGCUAAAACUCAAAGGAAUUGACGGGGACCCGCACAAGCAGCGGAGCGUGUGGUUUAAUUCGACGCAACGCGAAGAACCUUACCUGGUCUUGACAUGUGUGAGAAACGCCAAGAGAUUGGUGCCCCCGAAAGGGCUCAUUCACAGGUGCUGCAUGGCUGUCGUCAGCUCGUGUCGUGAGAUGUUGGGUUAAGUCCCGCAACGAGCGCAACCCUUGUUGCCAGUUAGGAUGUCUGGCGAGACUGCCGGUAAAAAAUCGGAGGAAGGCGGGGAUGACGUCAAGUCAGCACGGCCCUUACGACCAGGGCUACACACACACUACAAUGGCCGCGACAAAGCGCAGCGACAGGGUGACCUUGAGCGAAUCGCAUCAAACGCGGUCUCAGUUCGGAUUGCAGGCUGCAACUCGCCUGCAUGAAGUCGGAGUUGCUAGUAACCGCCGGUCAGCACACGGCGGUGAAUAUGUUCCCGGGUCU
Molecule: ribosomal RNA, 772 nt
Filed under: uncultured bacterium
Lineage: Bacteria
Description: bacterial SSU rRNA
Rfam family: Bacterial small subunit ribosomal RNA
Source: RNAcentral